UCGAGAUGAUCAAUCAAAAAGUUUUUCAACAUUAAAACUACCUUUUCCAAUUGAUGUUUGAAGGGCAUCCGUAGUUCUACAUUAUAAGGUUGCAUCUUUAUAUAAACUUUUUCCUUCAUUUAGAGCUCCAAAAAUGAUGUACAUCUAUGACCUUUGAAGAAUUGAAAUCAACUGUACGAAAAAGUAACACAAUGAAACAAUGAAGCAUUUGAAGUUUCAUAAAAUUCACUUUUUGUUUCAUAGUUUUUGAAAUGAUAGACCUAUAGAGUUUGGACACAAAAUCCAUUUGGGAGAGAGAUUUUUGGAAGUGGACACAAUGCAUGAUAUUCGCCACCUAGACAUUACCCAUUAUUAAAAUGAUUAUUAAAAUUGUUUUUCUUGAUAGGAGACAAGGUU
This 396-nucleotide long non-coding RNA is filed under the name Amborella trichopoda. RNAcentral describes it as "long non-coding RNA (ATRI_LNC004870)". The record is from RNAcentral. Lineage: Eukaryota; Viridiplantae; Streptophyta; Magnoliopsida; Amborellales; Amborellaceae.